GACAGAGGCCUCAAGCGUUAGGCGGAAUCACUGGGCUUAAAGCGUGUGUAGGCGGAUCGUUAAGUGCCUUGUGAAAUCCCACGGCUCAACCGUGGAACUGCUGGGCAUACUGGCGGUCUUGGGCCAUUCAGGGGCGACUGGAACAAGCGGUGGAGCGGUGAAAUGCGUAGAUAUCGCUUGGAACGCCGAAGGUAAAAACAGGUCGCUGGGGAUGUGCCGACGCUGAGACACGAAAGCCAGGGGAGCGAACGGG
This 253-nucleotide ribosomal RNA is filed under the name uncultured bacterium. RNAcentral describes it as "partial 16S ribosomal RNA". It matches the Rfam family "Bacterial small subunit ribosomal RNA", at positions 524 to 776 of the family's 1533-position model. The record is from RNAcentral.